UACGUAGGUGGCAAGCGUUAUCCGGAUUUAUUGGGCGUAAAGGGAACGCAGGCGGUCUUUUAAGUCUGAUGUGAAAGCCUUCGGCUUAACCGGAGUAGUGCAUUGGAAACUGGGAGACUUGAGUGCAGAAGAGGAGAGUGGAACUCCAUGUGUAGCGGUGAAAUGCGCAGAUAUCGGGUGGAACACCGGUGGCGAAGGCGGCCCUCUGGUCUGUAACUGACGCUGAGGUUCGAAAGCGUGGGUAGCAAACAGG
RNAcentral lists this ribosomal RNA (253 nucleotides) under uncultured bacterium. RNAcentral describes it as "partial 16S ribosomal RNA". It matches the Rfam family "Bacterial small subunit ribosomal RNA", at positions 524 to 776 of the family's 1533-position model. The record is from RNAcentral.